CAAUGUUCUUGUUGCACACCAA
Molecule: non-coding RNA, 22 nt
Filed under: Arabidopsis thaliana (thale cress)
Lineage: Eukaryota; Viridiplantae; Streptophyta; Magnoliopsida; Brassicales; Brassicaceae
Source: RNAcentral